This 512-nucleotide ribosomal RNA is filed under the name Priestia megaterium. RNAcentral's name for it is "bacterial SSU rRNA". It matches the Rfam family "Bacterial small subunit ribosomal RNA", at positions 556 to 1065 of the family's 1533-position model. The record is from RNAcentral. Lineage: Bacteria; Bacillati; Bacillota; Bacilli; Caryophanales; Bacillaceae.
GGGCGUAAGCGCGCGCAGGCGGUUUCUUAAGUCUGAUGUGAAAGCCCACGGCUCAACCGUGGAGGGUCAUUGGAAACUGGGGAACUUGAGUGCACAAGAGAAAAGCGGAAUUCCACGUGUAGCGGUGAAAUGCGUAGAGAUGUGGAGGAACACCAGUGGCGAAGGCGGCUUUUUGGUCUGUAACUGACGCUGAGGCGCGAAAGCGUGGGGAGCAAACAGGAUUAGAUACCCUGGUAGUCCACGCCGUAAACGAUGAGUGCUAAGUGUUAGAGGGUUUCCGCCCUUUAGUGCUGCAGCUAACGCAUUAAGCACUCCGCCUGGGGAGUACGGUCGCAAGACUGAAACUCAAAGGAAUUGACGGGGGCCCGCACAAGCGGUGGAGCAUGUGGUUUAAUUCUAAGCAUCGCGAAGAACCUUACCAGGUCUUGACAUCCUCUGACAACUCUAGAGAUAGAGCGUUCCCCUUCGGGGGACAGAGUGACAGGUGGUGCAUGGUUGUCGUCAGCUCGUGU